GCAUAUCAAUAAGCGGAGGAAAAGAAACCAACAGGGAUUGCCUUAGUAACGGCGAGUGAAGCGGCAACAGCUCAAAUUUGAAAGCUGGCUCCUUCGGAGUCCGCAUUGUAAUUUGUAGAGGAUGAUUCGGCGAGGGCUCCCGCCUAAGUCCACUGGAACGUGGCGUCAUAGAGGGUGAGAAUCCCGUAUGCGGUGGGUUGCCUUAGCCAUGUGAAUCUCCUUCGACGAGUCGAGUUGUUUGGGAAUGCAGCUCUAAAUGGGAGGUAAAUUUCUUCUAAAGCUAAAUACCGGCCAGAGACCGAUAGCGCACAAGUAGAGUGAUCGAAAGAUGAAAAGCACUUUGGAAAGAGAGUUAAAAAGUACGUGAAAUUGUUGAAAGGGAAGGGCUUGCAACCAGACUUGUCCGCAGUUGCUCAGCCGGUCUCCUGACCGGCGUACUCUUCUGCGGCCAGGCCAGCAUCAGUUCGGGCGGUCGGAUAAAGACCUAGGGAAUGUAGCUCCUCUCGGGGAGUGUUAUAGCCCUGGGUGGAAUGCGGCCAGCCUGGACUGAGGAUCUCGCUUCGGCUAGGAUGCUGGCGUAAUGGUUGUAAGCCGCCCGUCUUGAAACACGGACCAAGGAGUCUAACAUCUAUGCGAGUGUUUGGGUGUCAAACCCAUACGCGUAAUGAAAGUGAACGGAGGUGGGAACCCGCAAGGGCGCACCAUCGGCCGAUCCUGAUGUCUUCGGAUGGAUUUGAGCAAGAGCAUAGCUGUUGGGACCCGAAAGAUGGUGAACUAUGCCUGAAUAGGGUGAAGCCAGAGGAAACUCUGGUGGAGGCUCGCAGCGGUUCUGACGUGCAAAUCGAUCGUCAAAUUU
Molecule: ribosomal RNA, 856 nt
Filed under: Phaeobotryon rhois
Lineage: Eukaryota; Fungi; Ascomycota; Dothideomycetes; Botryosphaeriales; Botryosphaeriaceae
Description: partial 28S ribosomal RNA
Rfam family: Eukaryotic large subunit ribosomal RNA
Source: RNAcentral